Molecule: small nuclear RNA, 107 nt
Organism: Ochotona princeps (American pika)
Lineage: Eukaryota; Metazoa; Chordata; Mammalia; Lagomorpha; Ochotonidae
Source: RefSeq, a predicted model, not a curated record
GUGCUCACUUUGGCAGCAUGUUUACUAAGAUUGGAAUGAUACAGAGGAGAUUAGCAUGGCCCCUGUGCAAGGAUGACAUGCGAAUUCAUGAAGCCUUCCGUAUAUUU